RNAcentral lists this transfer RNA (74 nucleotides) under Exophiala dermatitidis NIH/UT8656. RNAcentral describes it as "tRNA-Ile (AAT) (tRNA-Ile-AAT-2-1)". It matches the Rfam family "tRNA". From Rfam's summary of the family: Transfer RNA (tRNA) molecules are approximately 80 nucleotides in length. Their secondary structure includes four short double-helical elements and three loops (D, anti-codon, and T loops). Lineage: Eukaryota; Fungi; Ascomycota; Eurotiomycetes; Chaetothyriales; Herpotrichiellaceae. The record is from RNAcentral.
GGUCGGUUAGUUCAGUUGGUCAGAACGUCGUGCUAAUAACACGAAGGUCGUGGGUUCAAGCCCCAUACUGACCA